RNAcentral lists this ribosomal RNA (1589 nucleotides) under Caecilia gracilis (graceful caecilian). RNAcentral's name for it is "16S ribosomal RNA". It matches the Rfam family "Bacterial large subunit ribosomal RNA", at positions 358 to 2838 of the family's 2925-position model. Lineage: Eukaryota; Metazoa; Chordata; Amphibia; Gymnophiona; Caeciliidae. The record is from RNAcentral.
ACAAUAAUGCUAGCUUAACUUUUAAACUUAAAUAACAAAUCACACUCAUUAAACUAAAACAUUCACCAUCCCAGUAUAGGCGAUAGAAAAGACAUUUAAUGCAAUAGACCAAGUACCGCAAGGGAAUGCUGAAAAAGAAAUUAAAAAACCCACAAAAGUAAUAAAAAGCAGGAAUUAAUCUCCGUACCUUUUGCAUCAUGAUUUAACAAGCCUAACCAGGCAAAAAGAUUUUUAGCCUGACCUCCCGAAACCAGACGAGCUAUUUUAAAGCAGCCUAUCAUGGGGCCCACCCGUCUCUGUAGCAAAAGAGUGGGGGGACUUUAAAAUAGAGGUGAUAUGCCUACCAAGCCUGGCGAUAGCUGGUUGCUCAAUAAACGAGUCCAAGCUCCGCUGCAACUCUUAUUACCAUAACUUUAUAUUAAACUAAAACUUAUCAGCCACUCAUAAGAGGUACAGCUCAUAUGAGACAGGAUACAACCUAACGCACUAGGUAAUGAUUAUAUUAUACAAGGAAUUUGAUGCCACAGUAGGCCUAACAGCAGCCACCUAUUUUAACCGCGUCACAGCAUGAACAUAAACCCACCCAACAAAUCCAAACCAUUUAUCAAAACCUAUAAAACCAAAUGAGCCAGCCUAUAAACCUAUAGUCCAGUUAAUGUUAAAACUAGUAAUAAGAAAGCACGACUUCCUCCACGCACCACUGUAAUUCAGACCAGACAAACCACUGAUAAUUACCGACCUAUUUAGCCGAAUUAACACUUAAACAAGAAACCUGCCUAAUGCAAUCGUUAACCCUACACAGGAGUGCCAACCAGACAGACCACAAGACAAAGAAGGAACUAGGCAAAUCACUUUAAAGCCUCGCCUGUUUACCAAAAACAUCACCUCUAGCUUAUACACAUAUUAGAGGCACUGCCUGCCCAGUGACAUUGAUUCAACGGCCACGGUAUUUUGACCGUGCAAAGGUAGCAUAAUCACUUGUUUUUUAAAUGAAGACCUGUAUGAAAGGCAAGACGAAAGCUUAACUGUCUCCUUUGUCCCAUCAACGAAACUGAUCUUCCUGUAAAAAAGCAGGAAUACGACCGUAAGACGAGAAGACCCUAUGGAGCUUAAGACUAAGGUAACUUUACUGCACGACACCAAUAAAGAUUUAUCCUAAUGUCUUCAGUUGGGGCGACUGCGGAGUACACAAACCCUCCGUGAACCACUCGCUAAUAAUACAAACCUAACGCACCAAGAUACCUUGGACAACUGACCCAAUAUAUUGAUUAACGAACCAAGCUACCCUAGGGAUAACAGCGCAAUCUUCUUUUAGAGACCUUAUCAACAAGAAGGUUUACGACCUCGAUGUUGGAUCAGGGUACCCAGACAAUGCAGCCGUUGUCAUCGGUUUGUUUGUUCAACAAUUAAAACCCUACGUGAUCUGAGUUCAGACCGGAGCAAUCCAGGUCAGUUUCUAUCUACAUAUUAAUUUAUCCUAGUACGAAAGGACCGGAUAAAAUAGGGCCAAUAUGCUUACACACGCCCUCACAAUAGCUAUGAAUACAACUCAAUUGCUACUACAUCUUGCACCCCAAGAUAAGGGGAAU